This 443-nucleotide ribosomal RNA is filed under the name Peribacillus simplex. RNAcentral's name for it is "bacterial SSU rRNA". It matches the Rfam family "Bacterial small subunit ribosomal RNA", at positions 50 to 476 of the family's 1533-position model. Lineage: Bacteria; Bacillati; Bacillota; Bacilli; Caryophanales; Bacillaceae. The record is from RNAcentral.
AAUACAUGCAAGUCGAGCGAAUCGAUGGGAGCUUGCUCCCUGAGAUUAGCGGCGGACGGGUGAGUAACACGUGGGCAACCUGCCUAUAAGACUGGGAUAACUUCGGGAAACCGGAGCUAAUACCGGAUACGUUCUUUUCUCGCAUGAGAGAAGAUGGAAAGACGGUUUCGGCUGUCACUUAUAGAUGGGCCCGCGGCGCAUUAGCUAGUUGGUGAGGUAAUGGCUCACCAAGGCGACGAUGCGUAGCCGACCUGAGAGGGUGAUCGGCCACACUGGGACUGAGACACGGCCCAGACUCCUACGGGAGGCAGCAGUAGGGAAUCUUCCGCAAUGGACGAAAGUCUGACGGAGCAACGCCGCGUGAACGAAGAAGGCCUUCGGGUCGUAAAGUUCUGUUGUUAGGGAAGAACAAGUACCAGAGUAACUGCUGGUACCUUGACGGU